UGUCCACAUGCACUAAUAGGUCCUCACACAUUGACCUAUCACAUUUUAGAAUUUUCUCACAUAAGUCCUAUUGACUAAAUUCUCCUGAAAUCAACCAAAUUGAAGCUUGAAAUUUUCACACCUUCAUAAUUACAUAUUCUAGACAAUAAGUAUCACAUUCAAACAUUUCGGUGACUCGGUUUAGCGGUCCCGAAACUACUUCCCGACUAGGGUCAACUUUGGG
Molecule: long non-coding RNA, 223 nt
Filed under: Gossypium barbadense (sea-island cotton)
Lineage: Eukaryota; Viridiplantae; Streptophyta; Magnoliopsida; Malvales; Malvaceae
Description: long non-coding RNA (GBAR_LNC022328)
Source: RNAcentral